This is a non-coding RNA of Notechis scutatus (mainland tiger snake), 4093 nucleotides long. The record is from RefSeq and is a predicted model, not a curated record. Lineage: Eukaryota; Metazoa; Chordata; Lepidosauria; Squamata; Elapidae.
GAGAGCACCAGCGAUCCUCUGCACCCUGACCCCCCCCCCCCACCCCCCGCCCCCCCCCGGCACCCACCGCAGGUGGGAGGGGGCCUCCCGUAGCCCCCCCUCCCCCCGGGGAGAGACGCGAUUACAAGUUGGAGCUUGCAGCUGCUUCUGGGGAGGGGGCACCAUGAACCAAGGGGUAGGCUAGUGUGGCUCCUGAGUGGCGUGAGCUUGCUGGACAGGACACCAUCUGGAUUCUCAGAAGAGAGGCCACCGGACUGACUAUGAGUGACUCAAGGGAACACACCCAGCCUUAAUAUCGCCUGCCGCGAGGUUUGCAGCCAUGAGCAGGUCCCCAAGCGCUGAGGGAGCACAAUGAAUGGCGGCGAUGAUUGCUCUGGUGUGGAUCGAGGUGGGCGCCCGGCAGUCACACCCGUGCCUGUGGGCUGGCAGCGCAGGGUGGAAGAGGGCAGAGUGUGCUAUAUCAGUCCUAGCGGGACAAGCUUGGCUUCAUUGGAGCAGACUCGUGCGUAUCUGCUGGCGGACGGCACUUGCAAGUGUGGACUGGAGUGUCCCCUCAACGUGCACAAGGUGUUCAACUUCGACCCUGCAGCGAUGGUGAUUGGGAGUGAAGGCAGCAAGGGAGACCAAGACAUGACCAAGCUCUGCAAUCACCGGCGGAAAAUUGUAGCAAUGGCAACACUUUAUCGCAGCAUGGAGACCCAUGGACCCCUCAGCCUGCCACACCUGGGGCCAGGGGCUGGAAUGACUCUGCCAUCUCACCCGGCCAUGCCAGGGCCUAGCACUUGCCUGCAGCAGACUCUUUCCAGCAAAGCUCCAACCAGCUUGCCCAAGGGGUCAGAUCUCUCCUUGCAAUGUUCCUCUGAUCGUUAUGGAAGUGCCUGGUCUGGUCCAAGCUCUUCCUUUCCCCGCCUUCACAACACUUUCUCUGCGGAUGGCUUCCCAGGCCGUCUGCCGGCCACUGUCAAUGGCAGUGCCCGCCCAGCCUUUCCGUCUGAACUGAAUGCUGCCGGGGGAUCUUUUCCACCCAGCAAGACCUCAGCAGAUGCCUCGCCCCGGCCCUAUUCAUCCAACAGUUUCCUCUUCCCCCUGCUGGAUGAGGUGGGGUCUGGUCAAGAGAGCAGCCCCUGGAGUGGUCGUUCCGUCCCUCUUGGGUCGCAAGCCAGUGUUGCCGGCUCACCUGCCCCCACCAGCCUCUCCUCCGUGUCUUCAUCAGCAGGCAGCGCUGAGCCUUCUCCACAGCGGUCACGGCCCUCAUCCGCCUCCUCUGAGCAGGGCCCCUCUGGACACCGCCUGGCUUCCAGGCCCUCCAGCUUGGACGCAGCACCCCCGACCAACGCCUUAACCAACCAAAGCAGCAAUAACCUGCCCUCAGUGCCCUUAGGAGCUGCCCCAGAAGGCAAAGGGCCGCCUGGCCUGCUGCUCCUUCCUCCACAGGGCCCAGGCUCUUUCCCAGCCAGCAGUUUGUUGAGCGCAGCCGCCAAGGCCCAGCUGGCCAGCAGGGGGCGUCCUGACGAGCUGGCUGCCAGCACUUUACCCAACCGCUUGCUGCUGUCAGUGGUGGGCGGGCGGACACCUCGGCGGCAACGUCGCUCCCCCACUGUCCUGCGCCUGCUCAAGGAUUCCCACGCAGGGCAGGCGGGGGUCACCCACCCUGAGGAGGCACUGACCCGACACUCUUGGCCUCGGGACCAGCCUCCCGGAGGAGAGGCCAAGAAUGGACCCCCAAGUGCAGCCGCCCCGGUACAGCCGCUGGCCUCUCUGCUCAGUCUGCUGGCUCCUCCCGGGAGUUCACCUACGCCAAGCCUGCCUCCACUUCUCCAGGCCCCUGCUGGCGACGGCCCCAGUUCUUUGCCCCCCUUCCAGGACUUCAACAGCCAACUCCUCAGCCUCUUUGGUCAGCUGGCCUCCACGUCUUCCGAACAGAUCUCAGGGAGUUCCCCACAGCCGAAACCUCCCACCUCCCCGCUUGCAUCCCAUGGACCCCCAGGUGGUGCUGCUGCUGCUGCUGCUGCUUCGGCUUCACUCAUGACUCCCAAAGCCCCUCCCACCCCCAGCCCUGUUACUCUCACCACCAGCACAGUGGAAGGUGGGGGCGUGGGCUGCCCGCUGCCCGCAGGCCCCGAUCCAUUCCCCUUCCUGGCACAGGAGCAAGCGCUGCCGUUUGGGAAUGCUCUACCUCCUGGGCUGUUCCCGCUGGGCUCCUUCCCCUUCUCGCUGACCUUGGGCCCAGAGACACCACUUCCCCCUCUUAACCUGCAGGAGGAGCCAGACGGACAGCCCCUGUUGCCUCUGGUGCUGCCCAGCCUGGAUUUGCUACAACAGCCAAGUGGGCUCCUGGCAUCCCUGUUGGCGCUGCCAGAGGCGGCUUGCGAAGGGCAGAGGGAAGCGGCGACCACGGAGCCAUUGUUGGAGCCCUUCGCCGGCUUGCCUGACACUCUGCAGCCCCUGCUCUUCCCAGCACUUUCCACCCCUCCAGCUGUCCUAGCUUUAAAUUCAGCAUUGUUGGCAACCGGCCUGGGCCCUUCUGACACAGGACCGAUCCCUACGCAGACCUUUCCUGUCCUUCCAUCCCAGACUGGCCUGGCUAGCACUCCCGUGGCACCUACCUCCACUAACACCACACCGACAACUACUGAGGGGACCCCCUGUGUCUCUGGGCGGCUGAAUCCCAUAUUGCCCCAGCUUGUCAAUCCGCUGCUGAGUACCACACUUCUGGGUGACCUUCCAUCCCUGAAUCCAGCUUCAGGCCCCUCAUUGAUGGGAAGUCCUCUUCUCCAGGCCCAGCAGCCUCUUUUGCCACCCAAUCUGCAAGGGCCUCUCGGAAUCCAGCUUUUCCAAGGACAGCUGCCCUUACUAGCAGGCUCCAACCCGCUGGCUUGCCUCCUCCAGAGCUUACAGCUAAGCACUGGCUUCAGUGCCCCAGAGAAACUGGUGCUACCCAGUGAGCCUCCAGCCUCAGCCUUGUCCAGCAUGCUCCCUGUGCCAGAGACUGAGCCAAGCCACCAGGCUAUCUUGCCCCCUUGCACGGACACUGCCCUCACAAGUGCCUUAGAGUCGCCCAGAGCCCUUGAGCCAGCCAGGCAAGGGGAGCAGGAGGCCGCCUCAGGGCAAGAAGCCAGCGGUUCCCACUCCCCCCACAAGCGGCUCAGAUGUAGCCCAGAAGAGCUGAAUGGGGACUCUGCCAGCAGUCUUUCACGCGGAUCACUCCGGGGCAGCAAGACUGGACGUCGUGGGGGCGGGCGGGGGCGGGGCAGGCGGCACUUCAAUGGACAACUUCCUGAGUUGGGCUCAGGACAUCUCUCGCAUCCCACCUGGCGUUGCAAUGGGGAAAUGGUGGCUAGCAGUGAAGAAACCCAAGCAGGUCCUUUUGCUGUUCAGGAGAUAAAGAGGACUUUGGUUUUAAAGUAAAAGACUAUUCUAAAGCUUACUCAGGAAGAAUUUUGGACUCUUCAGACUAUGGGGGAGGUAUGUAUGUGUUGCUGUUUCAAUAACUUGCCCUCAUUCUAACAAUAUUAAAUAUAAACCCAUGCAUGUAGAGAAAAGGAGAACCACGUAGCGAUGUGUCAGAUUAUCUAAUAUUGUGCAUACCUUACGUGAGGAAGCAUUUAAUUAUGGGUGUCUCUUUGUGUAUGCACUUACAUUUUCCCACUUUGUUUUUAGAUUGAAAUGAAAAAAAGUUUAGGAAAGCUUUACUCUUUCCUUAAAUUGAAUGAAUAAUCUGAUCCUUAUAAAAUUGGUUGUGAAACCAUGCGUUGCCAAUGAAGCAAAUUGUGUGGAGGGUCUUAUUGCCAGUUCUGGAGUACUUUUAGGAAGCUGACACCUUCAAAACUGAUACUUAUCUUCUAACCCAUUUCUUUCUCUAGGGCCCUCCGGGUAGGCGACCAGCCAGACGUGGCCGAAGGAGGAAAAGCAGUGGUGUCCGGCCCAGUGGCCGCCCUGAGACUACACGGAUUCGGGGUCCUAGCAUUGAUCCAGGAUCCAGCCCAUUGGUUGACUACACUGUUGCUCGACGGCCUCGGCCUGGCCGGCCUGUAAAAAACAGGAGGAGGAAAUUGGCCACAUAACACUGCCUGAACUGAGGGGUCUCCACCAC